RNAcentral lists this long non-coding RNA (2810 nucleotides) under Homo sapiens (human). RNAcentral describes it as "HSALNT0360578". The record is from RNAcentral. Lineage: Eukaryota; Metazoa; Chordata; Mammalia; Primates; Hominidae.
GUGGAGGCAGGGGUGGUGUGGAAGACAUGGCUAGGUGAGGAGCUAUUUGUAAAGACAGACUUAGAGAUGACGAAGCAAAGAUGAGCUGGUUGGAAAGGGCACUGACUAGGGCCCCUACAGGGAGUGACAAGGCAUCUUUUGGACAAAGUCCAUUGGUGAACUCUGGAAGAAGCCAGCUGCAUCUGAUCUGUCCUCGAAUCCCUGAGGCCGAGCCUGGUGCCCAGAACAUAGAACAAGCUCGGGAUACAUGUCCCAGGCUUGAGCGGAAGGGAGGCAAGUUGAGGGUUUUGGUGAUGCAGCCUGGAGGCUGUGCACCACAGGAGGUCCACAGCAAGACUGUGAGUGACCCUGUGGGAGAGGACAGUCGUGUGCUUCCCUCCUGGGGUUGCAGAGGAAGCACAACCAAGCCAGGAGUCCGAAGAGGAGCAGCACAAAGAUGGAAUGGAAGUCAGGGAAUUUCUCAUUGCUGGGAACUAAAUGACUGAUUUAAGGAAGGCCGGAUGGUUGAGCAUCUGAGGACACAGAGGUCCUCAGCCUGAGAGAGAGACAGCCCCUACAGCAAUUUCUUCCUCACUGCUCUGGACAUCAGCCCCGUGUGAGUCACCUAGCACCCGACCCUGGCAGGUCCCAAUCCAGGAGGAGGCAAUGACCACACAGCAUGUCAGAUGCUAGGUGGAAAGAGCAAGGUGGAACAAGUGGGGUAGGGGCAGGGCCACAGAGAGAAUGUCGUGGAUGGCUUCCUGGCUGACAGGACGUGAGUGAGUCCUCCUGACUGUUGAAUAAAAGAAGUCCAGUGAAGAAGGUGGUGGAGGAGAUGAACAUGGAUAUGGACGAUGAUGACUGGGCCACGAGGAAGGUCACCAGAGAGCCCAGGAUGAGAUUCAGCCAUAUGCCUAGGGAAAGGUUCCUUCCACCAGUGAAACCUGCACUGGAGGAGACAGAGCAGGAGAGCAGAGGGCUGGGUUGACCCAGAAGUGGGGCUUUUCUGGACAUUAAGGGAGGCUGAUAGGGCAGGAGCAAGGCUGUGAGAAGUCUGGCAGACUAGGAAAUCAUGGAAAGGUUACGAGGGUCAUUUAUGGGUGGCUUCCAGGUAGGUGGCACUUUGGUCCCUGUUUUCUGCCAAUAUCCUCCAUAUUUUCCUCUGAGUAAUUGCCUUUUUCCUAUUUUCAAUCUUUGUCCUUUGGUGGAGUUGACUCCACCAAGGGUGGGGUCUUGGUGCCACUCAGGCACCUUACACUGUGGUGUAAGGAGCUGCCUCUCUCUUCCUCUGUUUGGGGCUGUGGCAUUAGAAUGUGAGUUAUGGGAGCUGCUCUCGCCAUUUGCAACCACAGGGUGUGCACAGGGGUGGCUGGAGGUGAUGCCAUAGAAAGAAUGAAGGUGGAGCUUCCCUUCAGGGCACUCCCUGUCCAGGUAUACAGAACCCAUCAUUGAGAUAUCAAAUAGCUGCAUCAAAACUUGCCUGAAGUGUGUUUGUUCCCCUGUUCUUUUGCCAAAUGGAGCUAGGCAGGCGGCAUACCCCACCCUCCCGGGCUCAGCAAUUGGUCCUCAAGAGCUGGGUGCUUCACUUAAGUUCUUCUUUCAGUGGUUGCCAAGGACAUUGGAAAAGAGAGUUCACAUAUUCUCAAAGGAGAAAGAACUUAAGAACCAUGGGAUCCUGGACCUGCCAGUAGCCAUCUCUGCCUCCUGGACCACGUGAUCCUCGACCUGCCAGUAGCCAUCUCUGGGUCCUGGACCAUGUCAUCCUGGACCCGCUAGUAGUCAUCUCUGCCUUCUGGAUCAUGUGAUCCUGGACCCUCCAGUAGUCAUCUCUACCUCUUGAACCAUGUGAGUCUGAACCCACUAAUAGCCUUCUCUGCUUCCUGAACCAUGUGAUCCUGGACCUGCCAAUAGUUAUCUCUGCCUCCUGGACCAUGUGAUGCUGAAUCCGCAAAUAGUCAUCUCUGCCUCCUGAACCAUGUGAUGCUGGACCUGCCAAUAGUCAUCUCUGCUUCCUGUGGACAGAUCCAGAUGGAUAAUGAAAACUAUGCAGAGGAAAGUUCAGUAGAGUGAGGGAGACCGCGUGAGUCGAUAAACACCCUCUGUGCUUCAGUUAUUUUGAGUUGGGUUUUCUGUUACUUGAAACAAAUCUGUCCAAAUAAUAUGCUUAGACUGGAGCAGUUGUGAAGUCCAGAGUGGGAGGCAGAAUGUGGGUGAUGGGGAGGGAAUAAGGACUUACCUGGGGUUUCAUCAUUGCCUGGAAAGGUUGUGAAUUUGGGUCUUGUUCACUCCCAGGCGUGACUGCUGCGCAGCUCACCAGCCUGGCUGUACAUUGCCAUGCCAGGUACCGCACUGGUGAUUAAGAUUCAGGGGCAGACUCCCACUUUCCAAAUGAGGAUUUUCUCCUCUUUUAUGCAUACUCAUCCACAAACUCCAAAAAAAGUUUCAUCUAUAGAUGUGAAAAUUCAAUCUGAGUAUGGUGCCCAUAUUGAAUCAACACAGCUGGGGUUAAUUAGAAUUUGGAAACAAGAAUGAUUUGUUCUAAUAAUGAUCAUGAUGCUGUCAUUUUCCAAGUGACCAAAAUCUACUAAUUUUAUCUUGAACCAAGGAAUAAAAGGUAUAUUCUAAAUGUAUCCUGCCCCUCAGCUUUGUGAAAAAAUUAAGAUGUACUUAUCUUGAUUAAACAUUGGUUUAUCUUUUGGUAACUAUCUUGAAAUGCAAAUAAAACUUGAUAGAGAGUUAAGCAGCAGCUCUUCAUUCCUCUUUAUUUUAUUUUAUUUUAUUUUAUUUGGGUCAAUCCCUUCUAUUCCUACAUAUAUGAAGAAAACUGGGCU